RNA transcript from Hylaeus volcanicus, 6332 nucleotides. It is a transcript of the gene named protein held out wings, with no coding region annotated. The record is from RefSeq and is a predicted model, not a curated record. NCBI's taxonomy places the organism in Eukaryota, Metazoa, Arthropoda, Insecta, Hymenoptera, Colletidae. The transcript is spliced from 9 exons.
UAGCUUUCCUCAUAUUUUCAUUUGCUAUAAAUCUGUUACUAAAAAGUGUUUUACGAAAUGACUAGCAAUUCAUGAAUCACAAAGUACGUAAGAUGUAGGGCACGCAACCAGAUGAGUGCGUCCCUGAAUGAUCCAAGUUGUGUGCGACGAUGGUAUGGCGUGUACCUCAGUAUUCGCGCGUACGCAGAGGCCGUAUAUGGUAGUGGGCGGUAGAAACGUGCCGCAGAGGAACGCAACAAGCGUUGCGCGGGAUACGCAUGCGCAAACCUUGUACUACGCAUGCGCCCGAGCGAAGAAAUCUACGGGUAGCUUGUCGCGGCACAUACACGGCCGAUGCAGUAGAGCCGAGAAUCCCGUAGCGAGUAAUCAAGUAACUGCGAUGUGUGAUAAUACUAACACGACGACGCAGAGUAUAGCGGACUAUCUGUCACAGUUACUAAAAGACAGAAAGCAGUUAGCUGCUUUCCCUAAUGUCUUUAUACAUGUAGAGCGCCUACUAGACGAAGAAAUCGCAAAAGUUCGGGCGAGUCUCUUCCAAAUCAGUGGCGUAAAAAAGGAACCACUGAUUUUGCCAGAACCAGAAGGCGAAAUCACGACACUAACAGAGAAAGUUUAUGUGCCCGUCAAAGAACAUCCAGAUUUCAACUUUGUUGGAAGAAUUCUUGGGCCACGCGGGAUGACGGCUAAACAAUUGGAGCAAGAAACAGGAUGUAAAAUAAUGGUCCGGGGGAAAGGUUCCAUGAGGGACAAAAAGAAGGAAGAGUUAAAUCGCGGCAAACCAAACUGGGAACAUCUGACGGAUGAACUGCACGUUCUAUUGACAGUCGAAGAUACGGAGAAUCGUGCCACGUUAAAACUUGCCAGAGCUGUGGAAGAAGUCAAGAAACUCCUUGUUCCCGUGCAGGCUGAUGGCGAGGAUGAGCUUAAAAAACGACAAUUAAUGGAGCUCGCUAUUAUAAACGGUACCUAUCGGGAUUCCAAUAUGAAAGUUGCUGCAGCCACAGCAUUUGAUAUUUCAGCUUGCGACGAAGAAUGGAGACGUGUGGCAGCAGCUGCAGCGGAAACACAGCGGCUGCUUCCAGGCUUAGCCACGCCAAUGAGAACGCCCAGCGCUCCAUUGGGAGCACCGUUAAUUCUCUCACCACGGAUAUCUGUCCCAACAACUGCAGCAUCUCUUCUGAAUGGCUCAGGUCCACCAGGAUCUCUUCUCUCUGCUGGUGAUCCUCAUGGCUUAAUCUACACGCCAUAUGCCGAUUAUGCCAAUUAUGCAGCCCUGGCAGCCUCACCUCUUCUCACGGAAUACACCACUGCUGAUCAUUCUGGUGCAGCAGCCGCUGCGAAACAGCGUAGGCACCUGGGUCAGAUUCGCGAGCACCCUUAUCAAAGGGCUGGUGCUUUGUCGUGAAUUCGGAGAGCGCAAUCACAAUACUGUACGCGCCUCCGCGAAGAGGUUAGUUCUUCACAAACGUUAAAUUUUUUCAUUUUACUUCAAUAUUUUGUUAAUGAUAUAUAUAUAUAUACAUAUUAUGUUAUUUGUUCCUGUAUACAUUUUUACCACACGGAGCUCACAUACGAUAUUUUCAGGAUAAGCGUUAUUCUUUUUUUCUCCAAAAAUGCUUUAAUUUUCCUUGAAUUUUCACAAUUUGUACUUAAACUUACAAAUACAACUGAUUAAUAUAAGCAGACAGUCUUAUGCUAAUCAUCUGAUUAUUUGCUACAAUUCCACACUAUUUUGUUCUUCAAUGUAAAAUGUAGAUGAUAUUCCUAACUUGUUUAGUCAGAUUUUAUCAACAUAUUUUACUAGUUAUAUUAACAACAAAAAUGUUACAAUGCUGUCAUAAUAUGAAAAAUGAUGAGAAUGACGGUAGUAGUCAAAAGCUAUAUGUUUAUUAUAAACUUAUAUUUCAAUUACAUUCCGUGAACAUAAAUAAAUGAAAUAAUUUCAAAUUAUUUUUUUACAAAUAAUAUUAUAAAUUUUAAAGUUCCAGGAAAAUUAUCGGAUUUAGUUGAAGCUUACUUUUGUUUUACCUGACACUGCAACAAUUUAAUAUUUACUAAAUUUUUCCCUCUAGGUAUCUACAUUUAAAUCAUAUAGAUCUAUAUGGAAAUUUCAAUUAUCAAAUGUAGAUAUAUGUAUACUUUUAAAUUGUUAUAUAAUUACACGAGAGAGUAGAUAUAUUAAGACAGGAUUCUGGUAUUUCCAUGGCAGUAUUGAAUUAUCUUUUUUCAUUUUAAUCAUAGUAUGUUACCUUUUAUAUAUUACAAAAUUCCUAGUCACACCUAGUCACAAGAGAAUUCUUAUAUCUAAAGUAUUACAUUUAUAUUAAACAGAUGGGCACUAUACUAUUUCAAGAAUAUCAGAAAUUACUAGCUUUAUUUUACAAUUUAGUUUCAAUGUCUAAGUUAUUGAAUCUAAAUUUCUGAUUGGUAUUACUUUAUGAAAAAAUGGUAUUUACAUAUGAAAAUGAAAUGUACAUUAAUACGAGUUUUUAUAUUAUAUAUUUUUUAUAUUAUAAUGUAUUUUACAUAUUAUACAAUUUUUUUGCAUUUUAUUAAAAGUGUAACAGAUUAUUUUUUCAGUUUUAAAGUAUGAAGCUCAAAUACAAUUUAUUACCAUAAAUUUUAUUGAAUAUCUUGCAAUUAGAAAAGUACGGAAAUUACUUUUAAAACAUCUUUUGCUAAUACAGAUGGAAAACAUUGUGAUUUAUAAAAUUGCUGCAGUGAAAUUCAAGAAUAAAGACGGAUGAUACUUACAAUGUGUACGUAACAUCAAAAAGCUUGGAGUGCUAACAAUGGAAUCCACUCGCCCCGUGCUAACACCUGGACUCUGGAACAACAUCCGCGUUCGAUCGAUUCACCAACCAGAUGACCACCUUCGUCGUUCGCAUCACCAGCCCUGUUUGUCAAGUUUAUCCAUCCUGUAUCCUCUCCGUGUUUUUCAAACUUCGUAAUCUCAAUUAAAUUGAUUGUUCGUUUCUUAGCAUUCAUGGCAAUGUUAUUGGCGUUUAGUACAUUGGACAGAUAAUUAUCUGACAUUACGUGGAAUCACAACAUUAUGUGUGCGAGAGAAAAAAAUGUUUAAAUUAAGUCAGAUUCCAACGUAACAUAAUCAUGAUAGAUGUUGAAUGCUUCAAAAUUUUUAAUGUAAACGAAUGAUGAUUUUAAAGGAUCUCGUAUUUUGAAGCAAUUUAUAUAUUAAAAUUACUCUUUCUCUAUUGUAGAAUUAACAGAAUGUCAAUAUAAUUAUUAUUGACUUUCCUCUCAAAUACUAGAAUGUUUCUUUAUAAGUACAGAAUUAUUAGAUUCAUAUGUUUAUUAUACAUAUCUCGAAGAAUCAUUGAUUUCUUAUGAUAUGUUCUAAUCAUAAUGAAGGUUUUGUGUGUUAACAUUAGAAUGUUAACUUAUUUAUUGUUAAAAUGAAAGGUUUCGGUCUUUUUUUGGGGUUAUACAUUUUUAUACAAAAUGUUUCAUAAGGUGUGAUAUAAUCAGAAAAUGACGCAUUCGUAAGUGAAACAUAAGAUAAUUUUAAAUAGUUUUACACGACAGUGGUAUAUCCGUAUUUAAAUUAUUAAUAGCUAAAAUUUGCUGCACACAUUCAUACAAAUUUUUAUACAUGUACAUAUCUCAAAUUUCUUAAUGCACUUAACAUACCACAUUGAGACUCUAGAAUGAGUUACAUCAACUCUAAUAUUAUAUUUUCUGACAGAUAGCCCUUCAAUUUUUUUUUUAUUAUUCUUAAUGUAUAUUAAUUAUUCAUUUAAAUUGUAUCAUUUUUGUACAUUAAGUGCCAACAAAAAAAUUCCUUUAUUUAACAAUGUAGUUAAAUGUUUAAUAUUUUUUGCCUACUGUUAAUUGCUUAUAUUUGCUGACCUCAUUGUAUUCAUUGAAGUCCAUUUUAUAAAGACAUUACAGAAGCACAGAAUUUAUCAGUAUAUUCGAAGAUAUUUUUUAAUCAUUUCGAAUUUGUUUGAGUAUUGAUCUCCAGAAAUGGAGUUAAGUGUUAUAGAUUAAAACAGUUAUAAACCCAUAUUAGAAAUUCCACAUUUACAGGCACAAAUUUAUACACUUUUCAUCAUUUUAUAACUUAGUACAUUUAUGUUUCAUUCUUAUUCAUUUAAAAACGGCUGAUUAAAUGGUUUCAACGUCAAUGUAAGUAGGCGCCAGAAAUAUGUUUAUUCCAUUAUAAUCAAAAUAAGACAAACGUUUACCCGUGUGCGGAUUAAUAAUUAAAAACGAUUGUUUAAGUGGAAUAUACAUUUGUGGAAAAUAGUGUCAUAGUCAAGAAUAGCAGAGGUACUUAUUUUAUUACGUUCAUAACUAGGUUUGUAUGUAACUAACAAGAUUAUUAUUUUCAAUCAAAGUUACUUUUUAAUGUAAUAUAUUUUCACCUGAAGAAUCUCAUUUCUCUGUCAUAUCACACCUCCCAUAAAGCCGAUAUAUAGAGUAGUGGGUCGGCAACCUAUGUCCUGCAGAUUAGCCAAUGAUACUCAUAAAGUCAAAACAAUUGAAUCAUCAAUUGUUUACCAAGCCAGAAUAGUCAAAAAUGAAAUGUCUUAAUAAUUUGGAAUCGUCUUAUUGCAGUACAGUAAAAUGAUUGUGUUCAUUUAAAAGUUACAAAUAUAAAGUCAAAUAUUUUAAAACCAAGCGACCACACACAUCAUUUACUAAUAUUUUUAAUUGAGUUGUUUAAUUUCUUUAACAGUCUUAACUUGUAUAAGUAAUUUCACUUAAUUAAGGUAUUGACAAAUAAUACUAAUCCGCGAACUUUAGGAAAGAAUUAUUGUUUAUCAAACCUGACCCAAGAUCGAGAAAGGUUGCCGACCACUGUUAUAGAAAAACCUUAAGAUCAUACAACACAAUGACUAUAAAUUUUUAUAUUUAAAGUUGCUCAUCACAGACUGUAAAACCAAUUUUUCUCUGUGAUGGUCAAAUUAAUUAUAUAGUACUUAUAUUGUUAACAGAACAAUAGAAUGAAGAGGAGAAGUGAGUAAAAAUUAGAAAAGAAAUUUAAAUAAUACAAUGUAUUUUGUAUAAUUAAGAAAAUACCAUGUUCACUUGUAAUAAGUGUAACAUAAAAUCAAAAUUUGUUUCCAUUUCGACAUUUUUUUACAUGAAAAUAAAAUUAACGCUAAGUUUAGUCAACUCAUGAAGAAAGGACAAUUCUUCAAAUACUUUUCAUUGCAACUUGCAACUGUUUAACAUUAAGUGAAAGAAACAGUAAAGUUUUAUAACAAUGAUUGAAUAUUAAUAGUUUGCAAUAUUAAAAUACGUUGAAACAUAACGUAAUAUAAAGAUAUGAACUGUUAGAUAUAAAAUAUAAUUAUAAGCUAUAUCAGAACAAAUUCGAGGAGUAUGUAAUUUUAAAGAAAUACAUACUAAAAAUGAGUAUUGCAUGAAUUUCUGUAAAUUUACAGUACUCGUAAAUUUGUCGUUAACAAUGAAACGAAUAGUAAAAGAAUCAAAAUAAUCAAGUGUAACUAGGAAUUACAAUUAUUUAAUUUCUUCUUCAAUAUAUUAAUUUGUUACGUGUCUUGAAAGAAUCUCCAAUUUUUUUUAGCAAAGAGAUGUUAUACUGUGUUUUAAUAUACUGUAAUCUGAAAAUGUUGUUAUAUAAUAUUAUGGUGCAAUUUACUUGUAAAGUAAUCAACUUCACUCGUUUAUUAAAUAUUUUCACCCUUACAAAAUUUAGAUAAACUUAUAAGAAAAUAUCUUUUUGUGAAAAGUGUAAGGUAGAAAGGUUUAUUAACAAAAUAGUACUAAAAAUUAUAUCGUUAUAAACAACGAGCACGUUGAUUAGAGUAAAUCUAUUUUUACUUGUUUCUGUUGUAAAAUCACUACUCAUAAUAUUAUUUACUAUAUUACAUACGAAAUAUGUCUACAUGGAUGAGAAUGAUUAUGUUAGAUUGAUUUAUUUAUCAAUGAAUAUAACAUUAUAUAGAUAUAAAAAGAAUGUUUUGUUGAUUCAUUAAAUUUGCCAUGUGUAGAUGUAAUAAUAAGAACUUUUUACCAUGUUCAUUUGUGUAUAUUUAAUAAUCUGUGUGACUUACUUACAUUUUCAACAGACACUUCUACCUUUUUUAUUAUUUAAGGGCAGGUAAUUAUUAUUUUAUGUACAUAGAUCGAAUUUGAUGACAUAAUUAUAUUAAAAUUUAUUUGAAAUCUACUUAAAUAUACAUUUUAAAAUAACAUUCAUCAUAUUUCAACAUUUUAAAAAUACAGAGACGUAGAUAAAUGAAAUAAAUAUUAAAUAAUGUGUAGAAAUAAGGGAAAUCAAAAAAUGAAAUUAAUGUUGUUUAUUUAGUGUAACAAUAAUACAAGAGUUCUUUUAUAUA